Molecule: transfer RNA, 93 nt
Filed under: Streptomyces rubrolavendulae
Lineage: Bacteria; Bacillati; Actinomycetota; Actinomycetes; Kitasatosporales; Streptomycetaceae
Description: tRNA-Pro
Source: RNAcentral
CGUCCGUACGGGAGGGGGUUGCCGGUCCGGGCCCGCUUCGGGGGUGGGCGCCGGGCCGUGAUCGGUACGGGGCGGUUCCGCCGCCGUGGCCGC